Molecule: ribosomal RNA, 2902 nt
Filed under: Klebsiella pneumoniae
Lineage: Bacteria; Pseudomonadati; Pseudomonadota; Gammaproteobacteria; Enterobacterales; Enterobacteriaceae
Description: 23S ribosomal RNA
Rfam family: Bacterial large subunit ribosomal RNA
Source: RNAcentral
GGUUAAGCGACUAAGCGUACACGGUGGAUGCCCUGGCAGUCAGAGGCGAUGAAGGACGUGCUAAUCUGCGAAAAGCGUCGGUAAGGUGAUAUGAACCGUUAUAACCGGCGAUGUCCGAAUGGGGAAACCCAGUGCAAUUCGUUGCACUAUCGUUAACUGAAUACAUAGGUUAACGAGGCGAACCGGGGGAACUGAAACAUCUAAGUACCCCGAGGAAAAGAAAUCAACCGAGAUUCCCCCAGUAGCGGCGAGCGAACGGGGAGCAGCCCAGAGUCUGAAUCAGCUUGUGUGUUAGUGGAACGGUCUGGAAAGUCCGACGGUACAGGGUGAUAGUCCCGUACACCAAAAUGCACAGGCUGUGAACUCGAAGAGUAGGGCGGGACACGUGGUAUCCUGUCUGAAUAUGGGGGGACCAUCCUCCAAGGCUAAAUACUCCUGACUGACCGAUAGUGAACCAGUACCGUGAGGGAAAGGCGAAAAGAACCCCGGCGAGGGGAGUGAAAAAGAACCUGAAACCGUGUACGUACAAGCAGUGGGAGCACCUUCGGGUGUGACUGCGUACCUUUUGUAUAAUGGGUCAGCGACUUAUAUUCUGUAGCAAGGUUAACCGUAUAGGGGAGCCGCAGGGAAACCGAGUCUUAACUGGGCGUUAAGUUGCAGGGUAUAGACCCGAAACCCGGUGAUCUAGCCAUGGGCAGGUUGAAGGUUGGGUAACACUAACUGGAGGACCGAACCGACUAAUGUUGAAAAAUUAGCGGAUGACUUGUGGCUGGGGGUGAAAGGCCAAUCAAACCGGGAGAUAGCUGGUUCUCCCCGAAAGCUAUUUAGGUAGCGCCUCGUGAACUCAUCUUCGGGGGUAGAGCACUGUUUCGGCUAGGGGGUCAUCCCGACUUACCAACCCGAUGCAAACUACGAAUACCGAAGAAUGUUAUCACGGGAGACACACGGCGGGUGCUAACGUCCGUCGUGAAGAGGGAAACAACCCAGACCGCCAGCUAAGGUCCCAAAGUCAUGGUUAAGUGGGAAACGAUGUGGGAAGGCACAGACAGCCAGGAUGUUGGCUUAGAAGCAGCCAUCAUUUAAAGAAAGCGUAAUAGCUCACUGGUCGAGUCGGCCUGCGCGGAAGAUGUAACGGGGCUAAACCAUGCACCGAAGCUGCGGCAGCGACACUAUGUGUUGUUGGGUAGGGGAGCGUUCUGUAAGCCUGCGAAGGUGACCUGUGAGGGUUGCUGGAGGUAUCAGAAGUGCGAAUGCUGACAUAAGUAACGAUAAAGCGGGUGAAAAGCCCGCUCGCCGGAAGACCAAGGGUUCCUGUCCAACGUUAAUCGGGGCAGGGUGAGUCGACCCCUAAGGCGAGGCCGAAAGGCGUAGUCGAUGGGAAACAGGUUAAUAUUCCUGUACUUGGUGUUACUGCGAAGGGGGGACGGAGAAGGCUAUGUUAGCCGGGCGACGGUUGUCCCGGUUUAAGCAUGUAGGCUGAUUGUCCAGGCAAAUCCGGAUAAUCAAGGCUGAGGUGUGAUGACGAGGCACUACGGUGCUGAAGUAACAAAUGCCCUGCUUCCAGGAAAAGCCUCUAAGCAUCAGGUAACAUCAAAUCGUACCCCAAACCGACACAGGUGGUCAGGUAGAGAAUACCAAGGCGCUUGAGAGAACUCGGGUGAAGGAACUAGGCAAAAUGGUGCCGUAACUUCGGGAGAAGGCACGCUGGUGUGUAGGUGAAGUCCCUGCGGAUGGAGCUGAGACCAGUCGAAGAUACCAGCUGGCUGCAACUGUUUAUUAAAAACACAGCACUGUGCAAACACGAAAGUGGACGUAUACGGUGUGACGCCUGCCCGGUGCCGGAAGGUUAAUUGAUGGGGUUAUCCGUAAGGAGAAGCUCUUGAUCGAAGCCCCGGUAAACGGCGGCCGUAACUAUAACGGUCCUAAGGUAGCGAAAUUCCUUGUCGGGUAAGUUCCGACCUGCACGAAUGGCGUAAUGAUGGCCAGGCUGUCUCCACCCGAGACUCAGUGAAAUUGAACUCGCUGUGAAGAUGCAGUGUACCCGCGGCAAGACGGAAAGACCCCGUGAACCUUUACUAUAGCUUGACACUGAACAUUGAGCCUUGAUGUGUAGGAUAGGUGGGAGGCUUUGAAGCGUGGACGCCAGUCUGCGUGGAGCCAACCUUGAAAUACCACCCUUUAAUGUUUGAUGUUCUAACGUUGGCCCCUUAUCGGGGUUGCGGACAGUGUCUGGUGGGUAGUUUGACUGGGGCGGUCUCCUCCCAAAGCGUAACGGAGGAGCACGAAGGUUAGCUAAUCCUGGUCGGACAUCAGGAGGUUAGUGCAAUGGCAUAAGCUAGCUUGACUGCGAGCGUGACGGCGCGAGCAGGUGCGAAAGCAGGUCAUAGUGAUCCGGUGGUUCUGAAUGGAAGGGCCAUCGCUCAACGGAUAAAAGGUACUCCGGGGAUAACAGGCUGAUACCGCCCAAGAGUUCAUAUCGACGGCGGUGUUUGGCACCUCGAUGUCGGCUCAUCACAUCCUGGGGCUGAAGUAGGUCCCAAGGGUAUGGCUGUUCGCCAUUUAAAGUGGUACGCGAGCUGGGUUUAGAACGUCGUGAGACAGUUCGGUCCCUAUCUGCCGUGGGCGCUGGAGAAUUGAGGGGGGCUGCUCCUAGUACGAGAGGACCGGAGUGGACGCAUCACUGGUGUUCGGGUUGUCAUGCCAAUGGCACUGCCCGGUAGCUAAAUGCGGAAGAGAUAAGUGCUGAAAGCAUCUAAGCACGAAACUUGCCCCGAGAUGAGUUCUCCCUGAGACUUUAAGUCUCCUGAAGGAACGUUAAAGACGAUGACGUUGAUAGGCCGGGUGUGUAAGCGCAGCGAUGCGUUGAGCUAACCGGUACUAAUGAACCGUGAGGCUUAACCUU